GAUUACCUCAGUAACGGCGAGUGAAGCGGUAACAGCUCAAAUUUGAAAUCUGGGUCUUUCAGGCUCCGAGUUGUAAUUUGUAGAAGAUGCUUUGGGUGCGGCCCCGGUCUAAGUUCCUUGGAACAGGACGUCAUAGAGGGUGAGAAUCCCGUAUGUGAUCGGUGGCUUGCGCCCGUGUAAAGCUCUUUCGACGAGUCGGGUUGUUUGGGAAUGCAGCUCUAAAUGGGUGGUAAAUUUCAUCUAAAGCUAAAUAUUGGCCAGAGACCGAUAGCGCACAAGUAGAGUGAUCGAAAGAUGAAAAGGACUUUGGAAAGAGAGUUAAACAGUACGUGAAAUUGUUGAAAGGGAAGCGCUUGCAACCAGACUUGCGCGGGGUUGAUCAUCCGGGGUUCUCCCCGGUGCACUCGGCCUCGCUCAGGCCAGCAUCGGUUUCGGUGGUUGGAUAAAGGCCUUGGGAAUGUGACUUCUUUCGGGGAGUGUUAUAGCCCUCGGUGCAAUGCAGCCUACCGGGACCGAGGACCGCGCUUCGGCUAGGAUGCUGGCGUAAUGGUUGUAAGCGACCCGUCUUGAAACACGGACCAAGGAGUCUAACAUCUAUGCGAGUGUUUGGGUGUCAAACCCAUACGCGUAAUGAAAGUGAACGGAGGUGAGAACCCUUAAGGGUGCAUCAUCGACCGAUCCUGAUGUCUUCGGAUGGAUUUGAGUAAGAGCAUAGCUGUUGGGACCCGAAAGAUGGUGAACUAUGCCUGAAUAGGGUGAAGCCAGAGGAAACUCUGGUGGAGGCUCGCAGCGGUUCUGACGUGCAAAUCGAUCGUCAAAUUUGGGCAUAGGGGCGAAAGACUAAUC
RNAcentral lists this ribosomal RNA (846 nucleotides) under Pezicula sporulosa. Its description in RNAcentral is "eukaryotic LSU rRNA". It matches the Rfam family "Eukaryotic large subunit ribosomal RNA", at positions 73 to 936 of the family's 3401-position model. Lineage: Eukaryota; Fungi; Ascomycota; Leotiomycetes; Helotiales; Dermateaceae. The record is from RNAcentral.